GAUGAAGAACGCAGCGAAAUGCGAUAAGUAGUGUGAAUUGCAGAAUUCAGUGAAUCAUCGAAUCUUUGAACGCACAUUGCGCCCCUUGGUAUUCCAUGGGGCAUGCCUGUUCGAGCGUCAUUUGUACCUUCAAGCUCUGCUUGGUGUUGGGUGUUUGUCUCGCCUCUGCGUGUAGACUCGCCUCAAAACAAUUGGCAGCCGGCGUAUUGAUUUCGGAGCGCAGUACAUCUCGCGCUUUGCACUCAUAACGACGACGCCCAAAAGUACAUUUUUACACUCUUGACCUCGGAUCAGGUAGGGAUACCCGCUGAACUUAAGCAUAUCAAUAAGCGGAGGA
RNAcentral lists this unclassified non-coding RNA (337 nucleotides) under soil metagenome. RNAcentral's name for it is "partial contains 5.8S ribosomal RNA, internal transcribed spacer 2, and large subunit ribosomal RNA". The stretch from base 1 to 120 matches the Rfam family "5.8S ribosomal RNA", at positions 35 to 154 of the family's 154-position model. The record is from RNAcentral.